This 482-nucleotide long non-coding RNA is filed under the name Chloebia gouldiae (Gouldian finch). RNAcentral describes it as "Erythrura gouldiae (Gouldian finch) lncRNA (ENSEGOG00005014022.1)". Lineage: Eukaryota; Metazoa; Chordata; Aves; Passeriformes; Passeridae. The record is from RNAcentral.
CACAGAAGCACAGUUACAAGCAGACUUGUUGGAGGUAAAUUACUGACUGUCCCUUGUGAUGCCUAAAUGACAGCAGAUUUCCCUGAGUGCUCAAUUUGUCCUUCAACUGAAACCCAGCAAGAUCCGGAAGAAGAUGGUGCUCACAGAGGCAAGAUGAGACCAGUAGACAGUGUGAGUGCACAGGAAGGCAGAGAUUGUGAUCACAUUACACCAUGUUCAGGAUAUGAAGGCCUGUACACCUGCUAUUAUUCACUGUACACCUUCCUUUCCACUUCACUGGGAUUUCAAUUGAAUUCUUUCAUUUCAUGCUUAUGCAAGGAUAAACCUGUCUCUUUAAUGCUACCUAUUAGCACUGUCCUCUAAUCCUAUCCUUAAAAUAGCCAUUAAAAAAGCGCUAAGUAAAAUAUGUUUUGCUUGAAUGUAUUUUUUUUAAAGCCAAACACCAAAUUUUCAUUAGCAAAGCAGUGAGUCACCCUAUCAAC